UAUCUAGAAAAAAGUUUUUGAAUUUGUUAUUAUUUGAACUUUACAUGUGUGUCUUUUCUAAUCAUUUGCAUUUUUGCCAUUUUUGUCCCACCUUGACAAAGUCAUGAAGGAGAUACUUUUUCAGCAGUGUCAACAAAUUGUUACUGUUUGAGGUUAGAUCAGUUUUGAAUCUUUUACUUGGUUAAACAUGUUAGAGUUUUUGGAUUUGUCACUUUAAGAUGAAAAAGUAAAAUAACAAAAAUACUGAACUCAGUUAAAAUUUUUAACGGAAGGUCCCUUAAUUAACAAAUGGCAAAAUCAAAAGCUUAAACACAUCAAAUGAAUGAGAUGAACAACUGAUUGUAAGGGAAUGAUAUUUGAUAUUCAGAUUAUUGCAACUCAUUUUUGGCCGCAUCCCUCAAUCAUAGUCUAUUGACUGAAACUUUAACAUAGUUUUCAUGUUAAUGUUUGGGGUAAGGUUAGAAAAGGGAACCAACCAUUUAUAAGUGACUCCACUUAUGAUUAAAAUAAUAUUUGGUAUAGACUUGUAUAGUAUUAGCAUAUCUCAUUUUCAAAAAGAUUACAUUUUAUAUGGCCCUGCACCUGCAUUUAUAGUUCAUUGGCUUUGAAAGUUUUGCCAUUUCAAUUUCAACAGUUUUUACUGAAACUUAAGUAUGAAGACUCCAAAAGAAUCUUGGACCUAAAACCUUCAUUUUUGCCAAUUUGGUAUUCAAAAUUGUCAGGGUUUACAAGGAAUAAAGUACUAGUACUGUCAAUUCAAAAUUAUAGAGUACUUUUAUUAUUGGGAAUUUUAAAGAAGGGACAAAAAUGUUAAAAUAAUUAUUGUGAUUUAAGUAAAUGCUGCAUACAAGUACCGAUUAUCAGGUUGUCUGCAUGUUGAUAUCGUAAAAUAUCAGCUGCGAGACAUAAUAUGAAGCUUUUUGUCGAGUAAGCGCAGCGAACGAGAUCAAAAAGCCUUCAUAUUAUGUCGAGCAGCUGAUAUUUUACAAUAGUAAUAUGCCGAUAACCUGAUAAUCGAUUUAUCGGGCUGUAUUUGCGUCUUUUGGAAGUAUUGUCUUAGUUUCACUAGCAACCGAAAGUUGACUUGAUAAGUUCGGGUCAAACUUAUCAACGUCGGUUCAAACAUUAUGACGUCGCUGAUAUGUCCGGGUCAAAGUUAUUAAGGCCAGGUCAACGUAUUUGACGUCACAAAGCUGUGAUAUGGAGUUUUAUUAAGAGCUGAGCAGAUUGAUAUAGACAGUUGGACGACCAAUAAAGUGUUAUCAAAUUUCAUAAUGAGAGUUUUUAUUUUUGUUCAUCCUAUUCUAUCACAAUUUUCAAAAUAAUAAAAAAACAUUGCAAAAAAUCUUAGAUUUACAGUAAUUCAAUUAAUACUUUUGUGGCAUACAUUUUGCUUUGCAUAAUAGCUUUAUAUGUUGACAGUGUGUACUGAUUAAUUUACAGUAAAAUGUUAGUUUAUACUUUACAUGUUUGGUGUGAUACUGGUGAAAGUGUUUGAUAUAUUUAUAUGUUUUCUGUAGAUCUACUAUGCAAGAAUGUUAAAGAGGGUAGAUUGAUAAAAUAAAUACUUUUGAAA
RNAcentral lists this long non-coding RNA (1576 nucleotides) under Mytilus galloprovincialis (Mediterranean mussel). The record is from RNAcentral. Lineage: Eukaryota; Metazoa; Mollusca; Bivalvia; Mytilida; Mytilidae.